GUCUAUAGCCAUGCCACCUGAACAAGCCCAAUCCCAUCUGAUCUCGGAAGCUAGGGCCCGGUUAGUACUAGGAUGGGAGGCCACCUAGGAAGACUAGGUACUGUAGACG
This 109-nucleotide ribosomal RNA is filed under the name Pteropus alecto (black flying fox). Lineage: Eukaryota; Metazoa; Chordata; Mammalia; Chiroptera; Pteropodidae. The record is from RNAcentral.